GACUCAUACAAAAUACAAAGAAUGCCAUCGUGAUUAUGCGUGGCGAUAUUGCGGGCUACUCGAUUAUGAAGAAUCAAAUCUGUAUCGACGAGUAUGACCGAUCUAAACCUCAAGAAGAGAGACUCUAGACUGAUGCCGGAGAUGGAUAAUCCAGAUGUUACCUUGCUGCUGACCACAAUAUUCAGAUAUAUUUUUAUCACACAUUUAUAUGUCAAUGUGCGGUUUUCCUGCCUUUACUAAUUAAGUAUUUGACAAAAUAGUGCUACACCACGUUGCACACCCUGUUAACGUAUGUGGUUAAAUAAAACUGAAUAGCUGACUGAGGUUUGGCUUUUAACA
Long non-coding RNA from Pieris rapae (cabbage white), 339 nucleotides. RefSeq lists it as uncharacterized. The transcript has 2 exons. The record is from RefSeq and is a predicted model, not a curated record. Lineage: Eukaryota; Metazoa; Arthropoda; Insecta; Lepidoptera; Pieridae.